This 253-nucleotide ribosomal RNA is filed under the name uncultured bacterium. RNAcentral's name for it is "partial 16S ribosomal RNA". It matches the Rfam family "Bacterial small subunit ribosomal RNA", at positions 524 to 776 of the family's 1533-position model. The record is from RNAcentral.
UACGUAGGUGGCAAGCGUUGUCCGGAUUUAUUGGGUUUAAAGGGUGCGUAGGCGGCUUAUUAAGUCAGUGGUGAAAUACUUCAGCUCAACUGGAGAGGUGCCAUUGAUACUGGGGAACUUGAGUACUGAUGAGGUAGGCGGAAUGGACGGUGUAGCGGUGAAAUGCUUAGAUAUCGUCCAGAACACCGAUAGCGAAGGCAGCUUACUAAAGAGUAACUGACGCUGAGGCACGAAAGUGUGGGGAUCAAACAGG